UCAGGUGCCACCCACCUCGGCCUCCCAAAGUGCUGGUAUUACAGGCAGGAGCCACCGCUCCCGGCCUUGUUUAUCUUUUCUAACUCAGGUCUGUCGUAUGUAAUUUUGGGAAAUACAAUUCUAACUUGAAGAAAAAGGAGUAUAAUACUUUGUUGCAUCACAUGUGGAAUAAGAAGCAAUGCAGCAACCUUGACCCAUGAAGAAGCUGCAUCUUUUCCUUCCUUUUCUCUGAAGGACCAGUGGAUUUGGUGCACCUACAAGACAGCCUUUAAAAUAAAAUGACCAAAACCGACCUUUGUACCCACAUCCAAAAUCAAGCAAAUUCAUAGCAAUGUCCUAUAAAAAUUGCAUCAGGCUGACCACACCAGGAUUGCUCUUCAAAAGGGAUCAUAAUGGACCAAGGGUCCCUGCUGCUGCACUUUGAAGCCCAGUCUUGUGUUCCCACUGAGGCCAUGCCUACCAUAGGCUAGUUCCUACCAACUACAAAAUGAGGUUGAGCUGGAGAAUCUAAACUCUUUUGGAGAUGUCCCAAGGCCUAACCUGCACCUCUUCACAGCAUAGGCUGCACAUGUUCUUGUGGAAAAGAUCUAAAAUCACCACCUUUUGCUUUGUCUGCUGGUGCUUAAGGUGAGUCACUAUUACAGGCCCCUUUCUCCCACUGAGUUUUCUGCAUGGAGGAUAACCUGAGGUAAAAGGGUAGAGAAGGCACGUACAUAAAAAAAGACAUAGACAGGUAGGAGGGAAGCAAAGAAGGGCACAGAUUCAAUGCAACAAUUAGAGUUGUCUACACAUAAUCCCUUCUGAAAAGCAUUAGCAUAGGCUCUUCAAAGCUGUUUGGUUCUUGUCCGUUACAGAACUUUUAUAUUCUAUGAACACCUGGAUUGUUAGAACAUGUGUGAUGGUGAGGAUGGUGACCCCUGCCAACCUGUGCUUUAAAUGGGCUUGUUUAGUGUUGGGAGAAAACCAUUAGGCCACAUGCAGAAGAGAUGUGCCCACUUUCAGUUUUUCCCACGACAGAUGUGGAAGGUAUGAUUUAUCACAUAAGGCCAAAACUUUGUGCAUGGUUGGUAUGACAUCAGACAUUCCAGACCUUCUCUAUGCUCCUUUUUCUCUGCAUUGAGCUACAACCUGUAGUACCACUAUAGGGAUGUGGGAAACGCAGAAAACAUAUGUUUACAGUUACUGUAAUAGCAGUGAUUGGUUGUCGAUGACUUGUUGGAACUAUAGCAAGUUUCUUGCUGGGAUGGGAGCAUAAGAGUCCAUAUAGAGCAUGGAAAUAACCCACUUUUAAGUGAAAAACAUUCAUUGUUUUUAAUAAGAUCAUUUUCCUGCUGGUAGACUUGGCCUCUCUGGUGAUAUCUUCUGGGCUCUAGUUCCUAUCAGAAUACUGAGAGACAGAUGGGCUGUAGGAACAAUCAAACCUACUUAAAUCUGCUUUAUAAAGUAGUAAGAGCAAGAAUUGAUUUUCUGUCCAUCAAUCCAUCCCUCCAUCUAUUCACCCAUUCUUUUAUUUAUUAUUUUCACACAGAAGUCAAAGUAAUUUUUCCAAAAUACGCAUCUGAUCCUGUUACUGUCCUCUUUAAAUCCUUUCCUAGUUUUUCCCUCAAGGUGAAGUCCAGACUCCUAAAUGUCACCUCCUUGGCCCUGCAUAAUCAGAAUCAGGCCUCUGUCCACUUCUCUAGUGACAUCUCUUGUUUGAUUUCUCUCAUCCUUUUAUAUAGUCUACACUCCUGUCAUGCAGAGUAUCUUUCACUAGCUUGAAAGAAUUAUGCUUCUUUCUGCCUUUGGAGCUUUGAGCAAGUUGUCUUUCCCCUUCCUCUCCAUCCUUUGACCUCUAAUCAUUCAUCACUUCACCUAAGAGGCCUCACCUUCAGGGAGUAUUCAGUUCCUGUGCUAAGUGCUCUCAUAGCACCCUCUAGCCUCCCAUCACAGCGCUGUAGUACGUAUUUCUACCUUUAAUGCAUCUCUAUGUGCCUUAUACUUUAAGCUCCUUAAAGGCAUAGAUAGUACCUAUAUAUAUUUUUUGUUGUUGAGACAUUAAUAGCUAGCACAGAGUCUGCCACAUAAGACUUCAGCAGAUAUUUGUUGUGUAAAAUUGUAUGACUAACACUGGCAAUAUAUCUUAAAGAUUGGCUUUUGUUGAGUAGCUAUUUGAAUCUGUGUUCCAGCUUCACUAUCUGCUCAAUGCAUGACUUUGGGCAAUUUAUUUAUUUUUUUAAAUUUUAAAUUCAGGGGUGCAUGUGCAGGAUGUGCAGCUUUGUUACAUAGGUAAAUGUGUGCCAUGGUGAUUUGCUGCACAGAUCAUCCCAUCACCUAGGUAUUCAGCCCAGUAUUAGCUAUUCUUCCGGAUGUUCUCCCUCCUCCCCACCCACCCUCUGACAGGCCCCAGUGUGUGUUGUUCCCCCUAACAUUUCCAUGU
Sapajus apella (tufted capuchin) is the source of this 2419-nucleotide long non-coding RNA. RefSeq lists it as uncharacterized. The transcript has 4 exons. Lineage: Eukaryota; Metazoa; Chordata; Mammalia; Primates; Cebidae. The record is from RefSeq and is a predicted model, not a curated record.